RNAcentral lists this ribosomal RNA (250 nucleotides) under uncultured soil bacterium. RNAcentral describes it as "partial 16S ribosomal RNA". It matches the Rfam family "Bacterial small subunit ribosomal RNA", at positions 26 to 280 of the family's 1533-position model. The record is from RNAcentral.
AGGACGAACGCUGGCGGCGUGCUUAACACAUGCAAGUCGAGCGGUAAGGCCUUUCGGGGUACACGAGCGGCGAACGGGUGAGUAACACGUGGGUGAUCUGCCCUGCACUCUGGGAUAAGCCUGGGAAACUGGGUCUAAUACCGGAUAUGACCUGCUCUCGCAUGGGGGUGGGUGGAAAGAUUUAUCGGUGCAGGAUGGGCCCACGGCCUAUCAGCUUGUUGGUGGGGUAAUGGCCUACCAAGGCGACGAC